CUACACCUUCUUGCUGUUUUAAGACAGAGAGAGACUGGCUGACUCAUUUUCAGAAUGGAAAAGCUGCGUCUUGCCACACCCUCCCCACCAUGAUGUUCUGCUUUAUUGUAGAUCCAUAGGGAUGAAGGUCCAGUGGGACCACCUGCCUGGUGCCAGAGCUUGAG
Molecule: long non-coding RNA, 164 nt
Organism: Peromyscus maniculatus bairdii (prairie deer mouse)
Lineage: Eukaryota; Metazoa; Chordata; Mammalia; Rodentia; Cricetidae
Source: RefSeq, a predicted model, not a curated record